CUUCUUGCUGUUCCAGUGUGACAUCUAGUGGCACAGUGUAUUUUUACUAAUGAACUAGGAGAUAUGUGGGUUUUUUGGGUUUUUUUUUUCAGAUCUACUGUUGCAAUUGUCUCCCAAAUAGAUUUUCCCCAUUGGUCUUCAGAGGAAGGUCAUGCGCUGUUUGGACGGAGGACUAUGGGCUGUUUUGUCCCCUUAUCCUGUUGGAUUUUUCCAGAUCUAAGCCAGGGCCCAUGGGAGACGCCAGACACGCCGCUCACCUCGAGGAACAGAAAGGUCUCACCUCCCAGAGCAUCGGUCUCUCUCCAGACUGAUCAAAAUGAAAGUGACCAUUCUUCUUUCUCUGUCUUUCGAAGCCUAAUUUAUAUGGAUAAAUACUGGGGAAUUGUUUGGCUGGUGAAAUGCUGCAGGCAUCGUCUUCGCGUUAACAAUUGUCGCAAUUGUCAUAGCAGGAACACGGCAGUUGAAAACAACAACACAAAUCCUAAAUUAAACAGCAGAUUAAAGAAAACGUCCCCACUCAGAAAAGUAAAUAAGGAAAAAAAAAAAAGAUACAAUUAAAAAGCUCAGUGCAAAUCUCUCAUUGGUGGCAGACACCGAUGCUAAAAUAGGAACCCUUGCGUUAAAAAGACUUCCCAAGCACAGCGAUUUAAUUAAGAGAGCGAGCGAUGUGGCAGGGACACGACGGCGGGGAAGUCGCAGCGCAGCGACGGGCACCUCCCGUGGUGCAGGCCGUGCUCGCUGGGCGCCGUUUCGGGCGCCGCAGCUGGCCCAGCGUGGCGGCCCACCGGGUGUCGAAGCGGUGGCCGGGCCCGCGACACCGGGGCCACCGCGGGGUGGCAGGGCUGGGCUGGCGAGGCCAUCGGGGAGGCGCAGGCACGAAGCGGGCCCCACAGGGAUGGGAUCGCCUGCGCCACCGCCUCACAGCGCUGCAGAGGAGCUGCUGAAAAAUGCUCCCAAACAGGGCAAAAAGGAGGGCGGGGGGGCACAGCUUGACGAGCCCUUGCCGGCCCGACAGUUAUGAGGUACAGCCUUUUCCGUCGGCCCCAAAAGAAGCAUUAUCCACCCAGAAACCUUUACUACCUCCGUGGAGGCGAGCAGGGCUGCAGGUGACUUGCUGGGCGUGGGGGCAAGCGACUAUGGGAAGAGACGUUCAGAGGAAAUGGCUCAGCUGUGAUGUUUUCACCCUGUCCGGGUCACUGAGCUACUCCAGCGCUGCAGGGCCGGGCCCCGCACAAGGUGUUCGGCCACGGGGCUGCACGAAGCGGGGAAGGCGAACAGGCGAGGCGGUAACGCGAGCUACGCGCCCGUCGGAAGGGGGAAGCGCGGGCUGGGGGCGAGCGAAGGCGCCGCGCCGGCCGCGGCCUCCCGCGCCACCGCCCC
This 1380-nucleotide long non-coding RNA is filed under the name Apteryx rowi (Okarito brown kiwi). RNAcentral describes it as "lncRNA (ENSARWG00000008016.1)". The record is from RNAcentral. Lineage: Eukaryota; Metazoa; Chordata; Aves; Apterygiformes; Apterygidae.